Molecule: non-coding RNA, 2448 nt
Organism: Malus domestica (apple)
Lineage: Eukaryota; Viridiplantae; Streptophyta; Magnoliopsida; Rosales; Rosaceae
Source: RefSeq, a predicted model, not a curated record
UGCAGAGUCCGAGGAGAAGAAUGUGGAGGCUGAAAGUCAAUGGACUCCCACGAGGAGAAAGUCGAAAAUCCAUUCAUAGAUUUUUUUUUCAUUUAAAUUUUUGGGUUGUGCUCAAAUUUCCGUUAAAUUUGUGGGUUUUUUUGGUGUGAUUUUAUCUGAAAGUUAUGUUGCCUUGAAGGAUGGUAACCCUUUUCACUCUCCUCUUUUUGUCUCUUUAAACUCUUUAUGUAGAUUAUAUUUUGUUUGAUUGCAGAGUUUUUGGUGGUCAAAUAUUUCUCCUCUUUUGUUUGUUUGAUUUCUUUCUAAUAUUCAAAUAAUUAUUGUUGUUUAAUCCUGAUAGCACUGUUGCUGCAGCUUGAAUGGAUAUGUACCAGAGCAUAGGAGAUGCUCUUGUGCAUUAGUAUGGUGGCUCUGCAGCUCAAAACACUCUUAUGUUCUUAUUUUAUUCUUGGGUUAGAGCAUGCAUAUAUUAUUAGUUGGUAGAUGCCAUAAAUCAACCCCUAUAUUCUAAAGUGAAGUAAAAAAAGAAGGAAAACUCUAUAACUCUAAUCAGAUGUCCACUGAAUUCGGGUGUGAUGGCCUAAAUUUUAUAUGUCUGGAAUUAUCCACUUAACACCAAUUUGUUACAUUCGGGUCUCCACCCCACAUUUCACAAGUUCAAAUUCCAUUGAAGUCAAUUCUGCAGAUUGUGUCUGCAAUUAGAUCAGAGAUCAACAACUCUGUUGUUAUUCUGUGGAAGAUUGCUUUUGGGAAGGAUCUGAAGCAGUUCAUCUCUAUAUGUUUAUUCUCUGUGUGUUUAUUGCCAUGUAGCUCUGUCUUCAUAUUUGCGAAUGGUGUUAUGAUCGAUUAGGUGAUGCCUGACCUCUGACUUUGUUUGGAGCUCAAAUUUUGUGAGCAUUACAUUUGAUUGUAUUGCACUUGGUUUGAUGUUGUUUUGGUCGACAAUGCAAGGAUAGGAGAAACAAAGAGGAUGACACUUAUAACUGCCCCUCCCCAUUGGCCAUCUUCAAAUUUGGAUCACAAGAAGGGAGCAACAUAGAGUUGGCUUCAUUUCAUUCCAUUGACUCUCUAAAUAGGUCCAAGAACUCACUAAAUAGUGAAAUUAAGGAGAGGAUUGAGAAGACCAAGUAAAGAAGAGAUGUGGUUUUGCAAUCUAUGACAGCGGCUAUGACAAAGCUUUUCAUAGUGGUCAGGAUGGGUACUACCAAUUUCUGUUGGCUCUGAUUCCACACUUCAGAAAGAGCUGGAGGUGACAAUGUGGUGGAAAAGUCCCUAAUGUGAAAUGGAAAGAUGUUGGCGGUCUAGAGGAUGUGAAGAAUUCGAUUCUGGAUACUGUUCAAGACUUCAGGGAGAGAAAGAGAGGGUGGAUGCAGUCACUUUCUCUUUCUAAUUAAAUCCUUCCUUUGCCUAUUCGCGUCGCUGGUUGUUGGCGUUCGUCUUCCUCCUCAAGAGAGAUUGCCUUUGGCUGUUAAGGAGUUGGGCACAUGUGAUCUUUACUCUCAGUGUACCUUUCCAAAGACUCGAUGGACGACUACCUUCAUUACCUAUUUAAAGGGCCACUUUGGCAUCAGGGCCGGCCCAAGCCCAGUGCAAGCAGGGCAACCGUCCGGGGCCCAAAAAAAUUAGGGGCACCAAAAUUAUUAAGUUAGGGCACUUUUUUUUACGUCGCCCCGGGCCUCAAAAAUCUCUGGACCGGCCCUGUUUGGCAUCAUCCGGAGCAGGCACAAUGCUACAGAAUAAUCCCUUGAAUGAUACUCAGCUCUCAGUUUCCAAGCCAACCCCAUUCGAUGCUGAUCAGAGAUACUCGUGUUUGCAGCAUGAUGGCUUAGUCUCUAGGCGUGAGAAGUCAAUGACUCAUUUGCAAGAAGAUAAGCAACAACUGAGAAGAUGCAGUUCUGGCGCCGAAUCCCUGGGUUUUGGGUAGAAAUGGAAUGGAGAUGAUACUGAAGAAGUUUUUCCUCCCCGGUGUUUGGUAAGGCGCUUCUCAAGACGACGUUGGAACGUGGGUGAUGAGGAUUCAAGGGAUAAGGAGGAAAUGGCAAAGGAGGAGGACCAAAACGUGUUCUCUGUUAGGAUAAUUGGUGCCCUAAAUGCCAGAAAGUCUGCACUCACCACUCAUUAAUUAUAUGCACAAUGAAUUUACGAAAUUGCUCAUUUUGACGAGUGGGAUCGCCAGUUUCCUUCACCUUUUAUGUCGCUCACCGCUUCACUGCAAAUAAGAUUAAACCAGAUCCCUUCCAAGUUUCAACGACCGCUACCACCUGGACCUCAGCUAUCCUUCUGUUGUUCCUCAAAACUUUCAUAUUGGUACAUAAGCUCAACUCUGAUUCUAUUUCAAACCCAAAGAUUGAUUAUUUUUACUCUUUUUUCUCUGUUAUUUAGUAAACUUUCCCAACUAUCACAAAAUGAUUUAUAAGAUUAGGAAUUGAUAGAACAGUAGUUGUUAAA